This 283-nucleotide long non-coding RNA is filed under the name Pan troglodytes (chimpanzee). RNAcentral's name for it is "long non-coding RNA NONPTRT002754". Lineage: Eukaryota; Metazoa; Chordata; Mammalia; Primates; Hominidae. The record is from RNAcentral.
CAGCUCUCCCCCAGUCCUUUCACUGACUCCUCUCUGUGGCAGAGCUGAGAUUUGUUUAGGGAAGUGGGACUACAACUCCCAGAGUGCACCUGUGCGGUUGUCAGGAGCAACCAAGGAAGCCAACUAACAGGCUUGCUAGAGUCUGAGGACUAUCCAGGGCCUGACUGCCAGCUAGCCAGCCAUGGGCCAGGAUUAUUACUCUGUGCUCGGGAUCACUCGCAAUUCAGAGGAUGCCCAGAUCAAGCAGGCGUCCCCAGGGCACAGCCAGGACCCUUAUGGAUGG